GGUGAUAUGAACCGUUAUAACCGGCGAUUUCCGAAUGGGGAAACCCAGGGUGUUUCGACCCACUAUCAUUAACUGAAUCCAUAGGUUAAUGAGGCGAACCGGGGGAACUGAAACAUCUAAGUACCCCGAGGAAAAGAAAUCAACCGAGAUUCCCCCAGUAGCGGCGAGCGAACGGGGAGGAGCCCAGAGCCUGAAUCAGUGUGUGUGUUAGUGGAAGCGUCUGGAAAGGCGCGCGAUACAGGGUGACAGCCCCGUACACAAAAAUGCACAUAUUGUGAGCUCGAUGAGUAGGGCGGGACACGUGGUAUCCUGUCUGAAUAUGGGGGGACCAUCCUCCAAGGCUAAAUACUCCUGACUGACCGAUAGUGAACCAGUACCGUGAGGGAAAGGCGAAAAGAACCCCGGCGAGGGGAGUGAAAAAGAACCUGAAACCGUGUACGUACAAGCAGUGGGAGCCUCUUUUAUGGGGUGACUGCGUACCUUUUGUAUAAUGGGUCAGCGACUUAUAUUCUGUAGCAAGGUUAACCGAAUAGGGGAGCCGAAGGGAAACCGAGUCUUAACUGGGCGUUAAGUUGCAGGGUAUAGACCCGAAACCCGGUGAUCUAGCCAUGGGCAGGUUGAAGGUUGGGUAACACUAACUGGAGGACCGAACCGACUAAUGUUGAAAAAUUAGCGGAUGACUUGUGGCUGGGGGUGAAAGGCCAAUCAAACCGGGAGAUAGCUGGUUCUCCCCGAAAGCUAUUUAGGUAGCGCCUCGUGAAUUCAUCUCCGGGGGUAGAGCACUGUUUCGGCAAGGGGGUCAUCCCGACUUACCAACCCGAUGCAAACUGCGAAUACCGGAGAAUGUUAUCACGGGAGACACACGGCGGGUGCUAACGUCCGUCGUGAAGAGGGAAACAACCCAGACCGCCAGCUAAGGUCCCAAAGUCAUGGUUAAGUGGGAAACGAUGUGGGAAGGCCCAGACAGCCAGGAUGUUGGCUUAGAAGCAGCCAUCAUUUAAAGAAAGCGUAAUAGCUCACUGGUCGAGUCGGCCUGCGCGGAAGAUGUAACGGGGCUAAACCAUGCACCGAAGCUGCGGCAGCGACGCUUAUGCGUUGUUGGGUAGGGGAGCGUUCUGUAAGCCUGUGAAGGUGUGCUGUGAGGCAUGCUGGAGGUAUCAGAAGUGCGAAUGCUGACAUAAGUAACGAUAAAGCGGGUGAAAAGCCCGCUCGCCGGAAGACCAAGGGUUCCUGUCCAACGUUAAUCGGGGCAGGGUGAGUCGACCCCUAAGGCGAGGCCGAAAGGCGUAGUCGAUGGGAAACAGGUUAAUAUUCCUGUACUUGGUGUUACUGCGAAGGGGGGACGGAGAAGGCUAUGUUGGCCGGGCGACGGUUGUCCCGGUUUAAGCGGGUAGGCUGGUUUUCCAGGCAAAUCCGGAAAAUCAAGGCUGAGGCGUGAUGACGAGGCACUACGGUGCUGAAGCAACAAAUGCCCUGCUUCCAGGAAAAGCCUCUAAGCAUCAGGUAACAUCAAAUCGUACCCCAAACCGACACAGGUGGUCAGGUAGAGAAUACCAAGGCGCUUGAGAGAACUCGGGUGAAGGAACUAGGCAAAAUGGUGCCGUAACUUCGGGAGAAGGCACGCUGAUAUGUAGGUGAAGUCCCUCGCGGAUGGAGCUGAAAUCAGUCGAAGAUACCAGCUGGCUGCAACUGUUUAUUAAAAACACAGCACUGUGCAAACACGAAAGUGGACGUAUACGGUGUGACGCCUGCCCGGUGCCGGAAGGUUAAUUGAUGGGGUUAGCGGUAACGCGAAGCUCUUGAUCGAAGCCCCGGUAAACGGCGGCCGUAACUAUAACGGUCCUAAGGUAGCGAAAUUCCUUGUCGGGUAAGUUCCGACCUGCACGAAUGGCGUAAUGAUGGCCAGGCUGUCUCCACCCGAGACUCAGUGAAAUUGAACUCGCUGUGAAGAUGCAGUGUACCCGCGGCAAGACGGAAAGACCCCGUGAACCUUUACUAUAGCUUGACACUGAACAUUGAGCCUUGAUGUGUAGGAUAGGUGGGAGGCUUUGAAGUGUGGACGCCAGUCUGCAUGGAGCCGGCCUUGAAAUACCACCCUUUAAUGUUUGAUGUUCUAACGUUGGCCCCUGAUCGGGGUUGCGGACAGUGUCUGGUGGGUAGUUUGACUGGGGCGGUCUCCUCCUAAAGAGUAACGGAGGAGCACGAAGGUUGGCUAAUCCUGGUCGGACAUCAGGAGGUUAGUGCAAUGGCAUAAGCCAGCUUGACUGCGAGCGUGACGGCGCGAGCAGGUGCGAAAGCAGGUCAUAGUGAUCCGGUGGUUCUGAAUGGAAGGGCCAUCGCUCAACGGAUAAAAGGUACUCCGGGGAUAACAGGCUGAUACCGCCCAAGAGUUCAUAUCGACGGCGGUGUUUGGCACCUCGAUGUCGGCUCAUCACAUCCUGGGGCUGAAGUAGGUCCCAAGGGUAUGGCUGUUCGCCAUUUAAAGUGGUACGCGAGCUGGGUUUAGAACGUCGUGAGACAGUUCGGUCCCUAUCUGCCGUGGGCGCUGGAGAACUGAGGGGGGCUGCUCCUAGUACGAGAGGACCGGAGUGGACGCAUCACUGGUGUUCGGGUUGUCAUGCCAAUGGCACUGCCCGGUAGCUAAAUGCGGAAGAGAUAAGUGCUGAAAGCAUCUAAGCACGAAACUUGCCCCGAGAUGAGUUCUCCCUGACUCCUUGAGAGUCCUGAAGGAACGUUGAAGACGACGACGUUGAUAGGCCGGGUGUGUAAGCGCAGCGAUGCGUUGAGCUAACCGGUACUAAUGAACCGUGAGGCUUAACCUUACAACGCCGAAG
This 2834-nucleotide ribosomal RNA is filed under the name Shigella sp. RNAcentral's name for it is "bacterial LSU rRNA". It matches the Rfam family "Bacterial large subunit ribosomal RNA". Lineage: Bacteria; Pseudomonadati; Pseudomonadota; Gammaproteobacteria; Enterobacterales; Enterobacteriaceae. The record is from RNAcentral.